RNAcentral lists this long non-coding RNA (97 nucleotides) under Anas platyrhynchos platyrhynchos (common mallard). RNAcentral's name for it is "lncRNA (ENSAPLG00000021037.1)". Lineage: Eukaryota; Metazoa; Chordata; Aves; Anseriformes; Anatidae. The record is from RNAcentral.
GAGCCCGAAAUUUUGGGGAAGGUUUCUCAUAUUUCAAGAAAGGUCUCCUGCCAUUUUCACUUUAAUUUUGGGGAGAAUUCCUUUUAUUCUAGGACGG